UUUGGUGUAUGUGCUUGGCUGAG
This 23-nucleotide non-coding RNA is filed under the name Gallus gallus (chicken). Lineage: Eukaryota; Metazoa; Chordata; Aves; Galliformes; Phasianidae. The record is from RNAcentral. RNAcentral also lists the same sequence under 2 other names.